This 73-nucleotide transfer RNA is filed under the name Myriophyllum spicatum. RNAcentral describes it as "tRNA-Glu". It matches the Rfam family "tRNA". Rfam says of the family: Transfer RNA (tRNA) molecules are approximately 80 nucleotides in length. Lineage: Eukaryota; Viridiplantae; Streptophyta; Magnoliopsida; Saxifragales; Haloragaceae. The record is from RNAcentral. RNAcentral also lists the same sequence under 1 other name.
GCCCCCAUCGUCUAGCGGUUUAAGGACAUCUCUCUUUCAAGGAGGCAGCGGGGAUUCGACUUCCCCUGGGGGU